AACACUCAGUCCUGUCCAAGCAAAUGGACUCUUUCAAAGUUGGCAUCCUAAAGGACUCUUCUGGCCCAGUCAAUAAAUACAACAAAAAACAACCAGUUGAGUGGGAGGACUAGAGGUCAAUGGUACCACCAGACCUUAGUUGGUCUGGCAUCUUAUGAGCGAAGGGGAAUUCAUGGGAACUUCAUGCAAAAACAGCUUCCCAAGAAGUCUAUCAUUAGUGUUCUGAAUCUUUAUUUUAGGAUAAACAGCAAAAUUGCUUUUAUUUAAGAUUUUUCUUAAACACUGUAUUUAGUUAUUUGGACAUUCCAGUAAGACUGCUAUGAUUUGCAUUUAACAAAAGUGGUUUUACCUAUCUGUGUGCUUAUAUUUUGUGUGUGAAUUUGUAGAAAGGUUUUCAUUAUAAGGCUGUUUCUGGGAAAAGUCCCUUUUGUGACAAUCAUCAUGUAUGUUGAAGUGAAAUAGAUUUUCAACCAAGAGUCUAUGCUGCUAUUUACCAUUGUGUGGAAACUAAAUUGGUGCACAAGCAAAAAAAAAAUUUUUUUUAAGCAAAAAUUACUUUGGCUAUUACAUGAGCGACUUUUAAUAAGUGUAACUAAUUUCUCCCAUUGUUUUAUGUGGUUUGGUUUUUAUGUCUUUUAUUUAAUACCUCUGCUGUUUUAGCAUUGGACCAUAAAAGUAUAUUUGUUGGUUAACUUGAACUUCAACAGAGACAUUUUCCAGCCAUACAUAGGUGGGGUUACCAGUAGGUGGGAUAUCCAGGUGCAAAAUUAUCUUAAAUAAAAUAUACUUUCAAUACAUUUAAAUUGGUCUCUUAAAAGUUGUAUAUUGAAAUUUGCAUUUGUAAUUUGUGCUCAUACACACACAAAGUGGGGGGAAAGUGCCUAGUUCUCCCCUCUGAAUGAACUGUUAAAUGGCAUCAUGCUCUAAUAAGACUUUCCUUCCUUACUCUCCCACUGUAUUUUUUACAAAUGCUGAUCUUUCAUUUUCUUUCUUUCUUUCUUUCUUUCUUUCUUUCUUUCUUUCUUUCUUUCUUUCUUUCUUUCUUUCUUCCUUCCUCCAUCUUCUUCGCUCUAAGGUGUCUUUUCUUGGAUGGGCUUAGGUAUUCUGUUCUCAGUCAUCAUCCCCACUGUACUUGGGCUCAUUGUCCUUGGCCUCAUCAUAAUCCUAUUGUUUUGCUUAUUUAGAAGAAACAGGUCUAAAUCAGAAAAGGCAGUGUAUAAUGGUGACUCCGUGUACAAGUUUCGAGAGGAAAAGAUCACAAAAGUAUAGUUCGUCCUGUUUUCCACAGCUCGAGGAAAAAAAAAUGCUUUAUUCAAUUCCACUCCAGAACCUCCUCCAUAUAUCAUUAAUGUUUAUGUAGCUCAGAUUUAUGUCUUUUAUGCAUGUGUAUAUAUUCAUGAUAAACGAGGACUGCUAGUUUUGCCCAAUGGAUUUUUUCUGAGGUGGGACAAGUGGCCUUUAGGAGGUCUGAGAAAUGCAAACCUGCUCUGUACCAACAGGGCAGUAUCCCCACCCACCUCCAACUCAAACAACCCUCUCCUUCAUAUGAGUCCUCACCCUUGGAUGUCACGUGAUCUAGCCAGCCCUUUGAUGAUGCAGCCGCUCUGUGGAACGUUGCACAAAAAAAGGCCCUUGUUUCCAGACUUCAAGUGGGCCGACCUUUGAUUCCUCACUGCCGGAGCAAUCAUGAGACAACCGCCUAAGCACCUCCAAUUGAUCAGACAUUCAGCGUGCAGCAGAAUGCUCUUGCUUUGCUACAAAGUCUGCACUUUAGUCCGCAAAUUAUCACUAUUCAGAAUCCAGAGCAAAACUCAUCAAUUGGUAUUGAUAAGAGACUAAAAAAGAAAAUAUCUAGAUUACUAGAAACAUAAAAACUGCCAUGUCCAUGUAUAAAAUUUUGUUUUUUUGUAAACCUUCCCCUUGAAUGAAAUGUUUUUACAUUUUAUGAGGACUUGUGGGAAAUGUUUAAAAGCGUAAUUUGAGGGAACUGCAGGAAGUGCUUGGCGUGGUGUGUCUAGCGCUUGAUUUCCUUCAUACUGUAUGUUCUAGAAGAAUUUUCAGUAUUCAUGUGGCAUAUUCCAGUUCGUUGUGUCUGCAGCUUUUGUAUUAUAGGGCCUUUCAGAGCUUGUAAGGUUUGAGACUGGGGCUAGAACCUUUUUUUUUUUAGGUAUACCUUUUAGGUAUACUUUUUAUUGUCAUUAUUAUAUUUCCCCUAUUUAUGUGCAGGCACACUUUGUGGGAUAUAACAUAUCAAAUACAUCUCUACAAAAUUGUACUUUUUGUAUUUAUUUGCUGUGUAUUGUUUAGUGUUUUAGUGAUUAUGCAAAAAAAAACAUUCUGUGAUUUUUUUUAAUGCCUGUCUGAUUUAAUAAAAUUUGUUUAAUCACUGCUAUGAUUGCCUAGUUUCCUGAAUAAUUUUGUAAAAUUCGAACACAGUUGUCGUUUUUCAAAUGACUAUGUUAAAUAAUGAAACGUGACAACUAUGCAAAAGCCCUGGUGCAUAAAAUAUAAUCUUUGUGUGAUGCGAUGGUUUUAAAAAUAGGGAGUGAGACGCAGUAUGGCUUUGGUGUGAAGUCUGCUUUCAGAAGUUGUGUGCAAAUUAAACACCGAUUUCACCAUCAUGUUCAAUGAUCACAAUACGAGGAGCAAAGGGAUUUUUGGAUUGCAUUAUCAUGAAGACAUUAUCAUAAUAUAAAAGCGCAUUUAUUUAUAGCUAGUGAUCGAAGCACUCUUGCUCUCUGGCGCAUAAUUUCUUCUCAUUUGAACUCGCGCGCCCCUCACAGGCCUGGAGAAGCAACAAAACGCAAAAGUUUACUUCCGGGUUCCAGGUCA
Molecule: long non-coding RNA, 2832 nt
Organism: Denticeps clupeoides (denticle herring)
Lineage: Eukaryota; Metazoa; Chordata; Actinopteri; Clupeiformes; Denticipitidae
Source: Ensembl